Molecule: long non-coding RNA, 1056 nt
Organism: Oncorhynchus keta (chum salmon)
Lineage: Eukaryota; Metazoa; Chordata; Actinopteri; Salmoniformes; Salmonidae
Exons: 5
Source: RefSeq, a predicted model, not a curated record
AAAGCACUUUUAUUACGUGGGGGAGAGGGGCGUUAGGGUGUGGUUUGGGACUCCUUGUGUUUUUAUCUGUAAAGGUGUAUAUUUUAAAGCUAGAUGGCUGAGUCCUGUGAGGGCUGUCAUGUUGUUUUCCAGACAUCUUCUCCAGGAGACGCUUCAUGUCUAUUAUCCUGUUCAACUGCCUCUGGCUGUUUGUCCCAAUGGGCACCCUAUGUAGUGUGAUACGUUUGAACAGGGUUCAUAGAGUUCUGGUCAGAAGUAGUGCACUAUAUAGGGUAUAGUGUGCCCUUUGGGACAUAGCUUCUUACUUAUGUCCAGCCCUACACUCUAGGUUGAACCCUAACCCCUACACUCUAGGUUGAACCCUAACACCUACACCCUAGGUUGAACCCUAACCCCCUACACUCUAGGUUGAACCCUAACCCCCUACACUCUAGGUUGAACCCUAACCCCCUACACUCUAGGUUGAACCCUAACCCCCUACACCCUAGGUUGAACCCUAACCCCCUACACUCUAGGUUGAACCCUAACCCCCUACACUCUAGGUUGAACCCUAACCCCUACACCCUAGGUUGAACCCUAACCCCCUACACCCUAGGUUGAACCCUAACCCCCUACACCCUAGGUUGAACCCUAACCUCCUACAUCCUAGGUUGAACCCUAACCCCCUACACUCUAGGUUGAACCCUAACCCCCUACACCCUAGGUUGAACCCUAACCCCCUACACUCUAGGUUGAACCCUAACCCCCUACACUCUAGGUUGAACCCUAACCCCCUACACUCUAGGUUGAACCCUAACCCCCUACACUCUAGGUUGAACCCUAACCCCCUACACUCUAGGUUGAACCCUAACCCCCUACACUCUAGGUUGAACCCCCUACACUCUAGGUUGAACCCUAACCCCCUACACUCUAGGUUGAACCCCCUACACUCUAGGUUGAACCCCCUACACUCUAGGUUGAACCCUAACCCCCUACACUCUAGGUUGAACCCUAACCCCCUACUGUAGCUCAGUUGGUAGAGCAUGGCGCUUGUAACGCCAGGGUAGUGGGUUCGAU